AACAUAAUUUCAAUGAUUGGUAAAGAAGGCUAGACAUUUCAGCAUGUGCACUCUUGUGGAAUAAGGGGCUGAAAAAGGGCCAAAAAGAAGCAUUUUUCUAGUUUACAGACAAUAACUUGUGUUUAAGUGCAAGGUUUCUUACUACAAAGGAAAGGCUGGAAUUGAGUUUCCGGGUUCUUGCUUCAAGGAGGGUUUCAAUAAGUGAGGGGCCAAAAAAGGGGUCCAAAUAAGCAUUUUUGUAGUUUUCAGUCAAUAACUUGUGCUUAAGUAUAUAAAUCUCUCUGAAAUUGUACCACAAGUUUCCAUACUACAAAGGGAUAGUUAUAAGGGGUAAUUGAUCAAAUUAUUAAGCAAUUGGGGC
Molecule: long non-coding RNA, 361 nt
Filed under: Mytilus galloprovincialis (Mediterranean mussel)
Lineage: Eukaryota; Metazoa; Mollusca; Bivalvia; Mytilida; Mytilidae
Source: RNAcentral